GAUGAACGCUGGCGGCGUGCCUAAUACAUGCAAGUCGAGCGAACAGAUGAGGAGCUUGCUCCUCUGACGUUAGCGGCGGACGGGUGAGUAACACGUGGAUAACCUACCUAUAAGACUGGGAUAACUUCGGGAAACCGGAGCUAAUACCGGAUAAUAUAUUGAACCGCAUGGUUCAAUAGUGAAAGACGGUUUUGCUGUCACUUAUAGAUGGAUCCGCGCCGCAUUAGCUAGUUGGUAAGGUAACGGCUUACCAAGGCAACGAUGCGUAGCCGACCUGAGAGGGUGGUCGGGCAAACUGGAAAUGGAACAAGGUCCAGAACCCUAAGGGAGGCAGGAGGAGGGAAACUUCCGCAAAGGGCGAAAGCCUGAAGGAGCAACGGCGCGUGAGUGAUGAAGGGCUUCGGAUCGUAAAAAUCUGUUAUUAGGGAAGAACAAAUGUGUAAGUAACUAUGCACGUCUUGACGGUACCUAAUCAGAAAGCCACGGCUAACUACGUG
RNAcentral lists this ribosomal RNA (497 nucleotides) under uncultured bacterium. Its description in RNAcentral is "partial 16S ribosomal RNA". It matches the Rfam family "Bacterial small subunit ribosomal RNA", at positions 28 to 507 of the family's 1533-position model. The record is from RNAcentral.